This 114-nucleotide ribosomal RNA is filed under the name Acanthosepion pharaonis. The record is from RNAcentral. Lineage: Eukaryota; Metazoa; Mollusca; Cephalopoda; Sepiida; Sepiidae.
UUACGGUCAAAUCACGUUGAAAACACCGGUUCUCGUUCGAUCACCGAAGUUAAGCAUCGUAGAGCCAGGUAGUACUUAGAUGGGGACCGCUUGGGAACACCUGGUACUGUAAGC